Molecule: ribosomal RNA, 259 nt
Filed under: uncultured prokaryote
Description: partial 16S ribosomal RNA
Rfam family: Bacterial small subunit ribosomal RNA
Source: RNAcentral
UACGUAGGUGGCAAGCGUUGUCCGGAUUUAUUGGGCGUAAAGCGAGCGCAGGCGGUUCCUUAAGUCUGAUGUGAAAGCCCACGGCUCAACCGUGGAAGGUCAUUGGAAACUGGGGAACUUGAGUGCAGAAGAGGAGAGUGGAAUUCCAUGUGUAGCGGUGAAAUGCGUAGAUAUAUGGAGGAACACCAGUGGCGAAGUCGACUCUCUGGUCUGUAACUGACGCUGAGGCUCGAAAGCGUGGGGAGCAAACAGGAUUAGA